UACAGAGGUCUCAAGCGUUGUUCGGAUUCACUGGGCGUAAAGGGUGCGUAGGCGGUUGGGUGCGUCGGCGCUGAAAUCCGUGGGCUCAACCCACGGGCGCGUGCCGAUACGACCCAACUCGAGGCUCGGAGAGGGUGGGAGAACUCCUGGUGUAGUGGUGAAAUGCGUAGAGAUCAGGAAGAAUACCCGUGGCGCAAGCGCCCACCUGGCCGAGACCUGACGCUAAGGCACGAAAGCGUGGGGAGCGAACCGG
This 253-nucleotide ribosomal RNA is filed under the name uncultured bacterium. RNAcentral's name for it is "partial 16S ribosomal RNA". It matches the Rfam family "Bacterial small subunit ribosomal RNA", at positions 524 to 776 of the family's 1533-position model. The record is from RNAcentral.